RNAcentral lists this ribosomal RNA (407 nucleotides) under Salmonella enterica. RNAcentral's name for it is "partial 23S ribosomal RNA". It matches the Rfam family "Bacterial large subunit ribosomal RNA", at positions 161 to 607 of the family's 2925-position model. The record is from RNAcentral. RNAcentral also lists the same sequence under 1 other name. Lineage: Bacteria; Pseudomonadati; Pseudomonadota; Gammaproteobacteria; Enterobacterales; Enterobacteriaceae.
AAUCCAUAGGUUAAUGAGGCGAACCGGGGGAACUGAAACAUCUAAGUACCCCGAGGAAAAGAAAUCAACCGAGAUUCCCCCAGUAGCGGCGAGCGAACGGGGAGGAGCCCAGAGCCUGAAUCAGCAUGUGUGUUAGUGGAAGCGUCUGGAAAGGCGCGCGAUACAGGGUGACAGCCCCGUACACAAAAGCGCAUGUGCUGUGAGCUCGAUGAGUAGGGCGGGACACGUGGUAUCCUGUCUGAAUAUGGGGGGACCAUCCUCCAAGGCUAAAUACUCCUGACUGACCGAUAGUGAACCAGUACCGUGAGGGAAAGGCGAAAAGAACCCCGGCGAGGGGAGUGAAAAAGAACCUGAAACCGUGUACGUACAAGCAGUGGGAGCACCCUUUGGGUGUGACUGCGUACCUU